Molecule: ribosomal RNA, 496 nt
Filed under: Gomphus pulchellus (western clubtail)
Lineage: Eukaryota; Metazoa; Arthropoda; Insecta; Odonata; Gomphidae
Description: partial 12S ribosomal RNA
Source: RNAcentral
GAAAAAGUAAACAUUAUUGGUUUAGUAGUUAAUAUUAAUUUUUAUUUAUUAAAAUUGGGAUUUUUAGGUGAAAUUUUAAUUUUUUAAUAUUUAUUUUGAGUGAAGCUACGAAAUUUAUUUAAGAGACGAGGAUUAGAUACCCUUUUAUUGUAAAUGUAAAUUUUUAGAACCUGGGUAGUAAUAGUUAUGUUCUUGAAACCCAAAGAAUUUGGCGGUAUUUUAGUCCUUUCAGAGGAAUCUGUCCCAUAAUCGACAGUCCKCGAGAAAAUUUACUUAUUUUUGUAUUUCAGUUUGUAUAUCUCCGUCAUAAGAAGAUCUUUUUAGAGAUUUAAUUUUCUUAAUACAUUAAGUGUAAUAUGUCAGGUCAAGGUGCAAUUUAUGAAUAAGUGGAGAUGGAUUACAAUAAAUAUAUUUAAAUGGAUUAAAUUAUUUAAUUUUUUAUGAAGGUGGAUUUGAUAGUAAUUUUAAUUAUUUAUUAUUAMAUUCGGCUCUAAAG